GGAGGGUGCAAGCGUUAUCCGGAUUUACUGGGUUUAAAGGGUGUGUAGGCGGGCUUUUAAGUCAGUGGUGAAAUCUCCGGGCUCAACCCGGAAACUGCCAUUGAUACUAUUAGUCUUGAAUUUUGUUGAGGUAGGCGGAAUAAGUCAUGUAGCGGUGAAAUGCAUAGAUAUGACUUAGAACACCGAUUGCGAAGGCAGCUUGCUAAACAAAUAUUGACGCUGAGGUACGAAAGCGUGGGGAUCAAACAGGAUUAGAUACCUGGUAGUCCACGCCCUAAACGAUGAUUACUUGACAUACGCGAUACAACAUGUGUGUGUCUGAGCGAAAGCAUUAAGUAAUCCACCUGGGAAGUACGACCGCAAGGGGG
This 368-nucleotide ribosomal RNA is filed under the name uncultured bacterium. RNAcentral describes it as "bacterial SSU rRNA". It matches the Rfam family "Bacterial small subunit ribosomal RNA", at positions 527 to 896 of the family's 1533-position model. The record is from RNAcentral.